UUGAACGCUGGCGGCAGGCCUAACACAUGCAAGUCGAGCGGUAGCACAGAGAGCUUGCUCUCGGGUGACGAGCGGCGGACGGGUGAGUAAUGUCUGGGAAACUGCCUGAUGGAGGGGGAUAACUACUGGAAACGGUAGCUAAUACCGCAUAAUGUCGCAAGACCAAAGUGGGGGACCUUCGGGCCUCAUGCCAUCAGAUGUGCCCAGAUGGGAUUAGCUAGUAGGUGGGGUAACGGCUCACCUAGGCGACGAUCCCUAGCUGGUCUGAGAGGAUGACCAGCCACACUGGAACUGAGACACGGUCCAGACUCCUACGGGAGGCAGCAGUGGGGAAUAUUGCACAAUGGGCGCAAGCCUGAUGCAGCCAUGCCGCGUGUGUGAAGAAGGCCUUCGGGUUGUAAAGCACUUUCAGCGGGGAGGAAGGCGAUAAGGUUAAUAACCUUGUCGAUUGACGUUACCCGCAGAAGAAGCACCGGCUAACUCCGUGCCAGCAGCCGCGGUAAUACGGAGGGUGCAAGCGUUAAUCGGAAUUACUGGGCGUAAAGCGCACGCAGGCGGUCUGUCAAGUCGGAUGUGAAAUCCCCGGGCUCAACCUGGGAACUGCAUUCGAAACUGGCAGGCUAGAGUCUUGUAGAGGGGGGUAGAAUUCCAGGUGUAGCGGUGAAAUGCGUAGAGAUCUGGAGGAAUACCGGUGGCGAAGGCGGCCCCCUGGACAAAGACUGACGCUCAGGUGCGAAAGCGUGGGGAGCAAACAGGAUUAGAUACCCUGGUAGUCCACGCCGUAAACGAUGUCGAUUUGGAGGUUGUGCCCUUGAGGCGUGGCUUCCGGAGCUAACGCGUUAAAUCGACCGCCUGGGGAGUACGGCCGCAAGGUUAAAACUCAAAUGAAUUGACGGGGGCCCGCACAAGCGGUG
RNAcentral lists this ribosomal RNA (914 nucleotides) under Klebsiella pneumoniae. RNAcentral describes it as "bacterial SSU rRNA". It matches the Rfam family "Bacterial small subunit ribosomal RNA", at positions 29 to 934 of the family's 1533-position model. The record is from RNAcentral. Lineage: Bacteria; Pseudomonadati; Pseudomonadota; Gammaproteobacteria; Enterobacterales; Enterobacteriaceae.